This 262-nucleotide ribosomal RNA is filed under the name uncultured bacterium. RNAcentral's name for it is "partial 16S ribosomal RNA". It matches the Rfam family "Bacterial small subunit ribosomal RNA", at positions 1238 to 1500 of the family's 1533-position model. The record is from RNAcentral.
AACAGAGAGAGACGAAACAGUGAUGUGGAGUAAAACUUAUAAAAGCGACCUCAGUUCGGAUUGAAGGCUGAAAUUCGCCUUCAUGAAGUCGGAAUUGCUAGUAAUGGCAGGUCAGCAUACUGCCGUGAAUACGUUCCCGGGCCUUGUACACACCGCCCGUCACACCAUGAGAGUUGGAGAUACCCGAAGUCCGUAGCCUAACCGCAAGGGGGCGCGGCCGAAGGUGGGUUCGAUAAUUGGGGUGAAGUCGUAACAAGGUAUC